RNAcentral lists this ribosomal RNA (2233 nucleotides) under Campylobacter coli. Its description in RNAcentral is "bacterial LSU rRNA". It matches the Rfam family "Bacterial large subunit ribosomal RNA", at positions 1 to 2243 of the family's 2925-position model. The record is from RNAcentral. Lineage: Bacteria; Pseudomonadati; Campylobacterota; Epsilonproteobacteria; Campylobacterales; Campylobacteraceae.
AGCUACUAAGAGCGAAUGGUGGAUGCCUUGACUGGUAAAGGCGAUGAAGGACGUACUAGACUGCGAUAAGCUACGGGGAGCUGUCAAGAAGCUUUGAUCCGUAGAUUUCCGAAUGGGGCAACCCAAUGUAUAGAGAUAUACAUUACCUAUAUAGGAGCGAACGAGGGGAAUUGAAACAUCUUAGUACCCUCAGGAAAAGAAAUCAAUAGAGAUUGCGUCAGUAGCGGCGAGCGAAAGCGCAAGAGGGCAAACCCAGUGCUUGCACUGGGGGUUGUAGGACUGCAAUGUGCAAGAGGUGAGUUUAGCAGAACAUUCUGGAAAGUAUAGCCAUAGAGGGUGAUAGUCCCGUAUGCGAAAAACAAACCUUAGCUAGCAGUAUCCUGAGUAGGGCGGGACACGAGGAAUCCUGUCUGAAUCCGGGUCGACCACGAUCCAACCCUAAAUACUAAUACCAGAUCGAUAGUGCACAAGUACCGUGAGGGAAAGGUGAAAAGAACUGAGGUGAUCAGAGUGAAAUAGAACCUGAAACCAUUUGCUUACAAUCAUUCAGAGCCCUAUGUAGCAAUACAGGGUGAUGGACUGCCUUUUGCAUAAUGAGCCUGCGAGUUGUGGUGUCUGGCAAGGUUAAGCAAACGCGAAGCCGUAGCGAAAGCGAGUCUGAAUAGGGCGCUUAGUCAGAUGCUGCAGACCCGAAACGAAGUGAUCUAUCCAUGAGCAAGUUGAAGCUAGUGUAAGAACUAGUGGAGGACUGAACCCAUAGGCGUUGAAAAGCCCCGGGAUGACUUGUGGAUAGGGGUGAAAGGCCAAUCAAACUUCGUGAUAGCUGGUUCUCUCCGAAAUAUAUUUAGGUAUAGCGUUGUGUCGUAAUAUAAGGGGGUAGAGCACUGAAUGGGCUAGGGCAUACACCAAUGUACCAAACCCUAUCAAACUCCGAAUACCUUAUAUGUAAUCACAGCAGUCAGGCGGCGAGUGAUAAAAUCCGUCGUCAAGAGGGAAACAACCCAGACUACCAGCUAAGGUCCCUAAAUCUUACUUAAGUGGAAAACGAUGUGAAGUUACUUAAACAACCAGGAGGUUGGCUUAGAAGCAGCCAUCCUUUAAAGAAAGCGUAAUAGCUCACUGGUCUAGUGAUUUUGCGCGGAAAAUAUAACGGGGCUAAAGUAAGUACCGAAGCUGUAGACUUAGUUUACUAAGUGGUAGGAGAGCGUUCUAUUUGCGUCGAAGGUAUACCGGUAAGGAGUGCUGGAGCGAAUAGAAGUGAGCAUGCAGGCAUGAGUAGCGAUAAUUAAUGUGAGAAUCAUUAACGCCGUAAACCCAAGGUUUCCUACGCGAUGCUCGUCAUCGUAGGGUUAGUCGGGUCCUAAGUCGAGUCCGAAAGGGGUAGACGAUGGCAAAUUGGUUAAUAUUCCAAUACCAACAUUAGUGUGCGAUGGAAGGACGCUUAGGGCUAAGGGGGCUAGCGGAUGGAAGUGCUAGUCUAAGGUCGUAGGAGGUUAUACAGGCAAAUCCGUAUAACAAUACUCCGAGAACUGAAAGGCUUUUUGAAGUCUUCGGAUGGAUAGAAGAACCCCUGAUGCCAUCGAGCCAAGAAAAGUUUCUAAGUUUAGCUAAUGUUGCCCGUACCGUAAACCGACACAGGUGGGUGGGAUGAGUAUUCUAAGGCGCGUGGAAGAACUCUCUUUAAGGAACUCUGCAAAAUAGCACCGUAUCUUCGGUAUAAGGUGUGGUUCGCUUCGUAUUAGGAUUUACUCCGAAAGCGAAGAAACUUACAACAAAGAGUCCCUCCCGACUGUUUACCAAAAACACAGCACUCUGCUAACUCGUAAGAGGAUGUAUAGGGUGUGACGCCUGCCCGGUGCUCGAAGGUUAAUUGAUGGGGUUAGCAUUAGCGAAGCUCUUGAUCGAAGCCCGAGUAAACGGCGGCCGUAACUAUAACGGUCCUAAGGUAGCGAAAUUCCUUGUCGGUUAAAUACCGACCUGCAUGAAUGGCGUAACGAGAUGGGAGCUGUCUCAAAGAGGGAUCCAGUGAAAUUGUAGUGGAGGUGAAAAUUCCUCCUACCCGCGGCAAGACGGAAAGACCCCGUGGACCUUUACUACAGCUUGACACUGCUAUUUGGAUAAGAAUGUGCAGGAUAGGUGGGAGGCUUUGAGUAUAUGACGCCAGUUGUAUAUGAGCCAUUGUUGAGAUACCACUCUUUCUUAUUUGGGUAGCUAACCAGCUUGAGUUAUCCUC